Brassica rapa (field mustard) is the source of this 687-nucleotide long non-coding RNA. RefSeq lists it as uncharacterized. NCBI's taxonomy places the organism in Eukaryota, Viridiplantae, Streptophyta, Magnoliopsida, Brassicales, Brassicaceae. The record is from RefSeq and is a predicted model, not a curated record.
CUACUUAGGAGGCGACUGGUUUUCCCGCUAAUAUCCGCAAACGCAGCUUUUGCGGUUGGUAGCGGUUGUCGGCGGUUUGUAACAAUCACUCAAAUCGCUCUAAACUAGGCCUGGGCAUUUUAACCUGGACCCGAAGACCCGAACCGGAACCGACCCAAAAAUACCCGACCCGGACCCGAACCGAAAAUUUAUAAGUACCUUUUGGGUCUAAUUUUUUUGUACCCGAAUGGACCUGGAACCGAAAGGAACCGAUCCGAAUAGACCCGGACCCGAAAAGAACCGACCCGAAUAGACCCGACCCGAUAAGAACCGAUUUGUACCCGACUUAGAAACAUUUGAAAUAUCUUUUGUUAACAACAUUUGUUAUUUUUUUGUAAUAUUGUUUAAGUAAUAUAAAGCUUUAAAAUGUAAAAUUUAGAGUUUAAAAAUGUUUUAUGUUAAUUAUUAAUAGUUUCAUUUAGGUUAUUUUGUAAAAUUUUAGAUAUAUAUGACAAAUAUUAACUAAAUUUGAUAGAAUUGGGUAUGUCAUGUCUUUUUUAGAUCCUAAGUACCCGAACCCGACCCGGACCCGAUAUGGACCCGAAAAAUUAUGGAUAUUUUAUGGGUAUUUUAAUUAUAGACCCGAACCGAUCCGGACCCGAAAAGAACCGACCCGAACCCGAACCGAAAAUUUCUAAGUACCUAUUG